Molecule: ribosomal RNA, 403 nt
Filed under: uncultured bacterium
Lineage: Bacteria
Description: partial 16S ribosomal RNA
Rfam family: Bacterial small subunit ribosomal RNA
Source: RNAcentral
GACGAACGCUGGCGGCGUGCCUAAUACAUGCAAGUCGAACGCAGUGGGGACGGGGGAGUAACACGUGGGUAACCUCCAAGCAGAGGGGAGGACACUUGGAAACAGGUGCUAAACCGAAAUAGAUGGAUGGACCAGCGGUGCAUUAGCUAGUUGGUGAGGUAACGUCUCACCAAGGCCACGAUGCAUAGCCUGCCUGAGAGGGUGAUCAGCCACACUGGGACUGAGACACGGCCCAGACUCCUACGGGAGGCAGCAGUGGGGAAUCUUCGGCAAUGGGCGAAAGUCUGACCGAGCAACGCCGCGUGAGUGAAGAAGGUUUUCGGAUCGUAAAGCUCUGUUGUUAGAGAAGCGGUAUCUAACCAGAAAGCCCCGGCUAACUACGUGCCAGCAGCCGCGGUAAUAC